Molecule: transfer RNA, 76 nt
Filed under: Deltaproteobacteria bacterium
Lineage: Bacteria; Pseudomonadati; Myxococcota; Myxococcia
Description: tRNA-Trp
Rfam family: tRNA
About the family: Transfer RNA (tRNA) molecules are approximately 80 nucleotides in length. Their secondary structure includes four short double-helical elements and three loops (D, anti-codon, and T loops). Further hydrogen bonds mediate the characteristic L-shaped molecular structure. tRNAs have two regions of fundamental functional importance: the anti-codon, which is responsible for specific mRNA codon recognition, and the 3' end, to which the tRNAs corresponding amino acid is attached (by aminoacyl-tRNA synthetases). tRNAs cope with the degeneracy of the genetic code in two manners: having more than one tRNA (with a specific anti-codon) for a particular amino acid; and 'wobble' base-pairing, i.e. permitting non-standard base-pairing at the 3rd anti-codon position.
Source: RNAcentral
AGGUCAGUAGCUCAAUUGGCAGAGCAUCGGUCUCCAAAACCGAGGGCUGGGGGUUCAAGUCCCUCCUGACCUGCCA